CUCCUCUCAGGAUCACAUCUGGAGAGUUUCCAGUACUCUACCAUUCUAGGCUACAGGAGGGAGAGUCAAGCAGAAGCCUAUCCGUUCCAUUUCUAGCUGGGGCAGUGGCUAGCGAGUGGCAGGCAAUCUGCAACAAGU
Small nucleolar RNA from Ornithorhynchus anatinus (platypus), 138 nucleotides. NCBI's taxonomy places the organism in Eukaryota, Metazoa, Chordata, Mammalia, Monotremata, Ornithorhynchidae. The record is from RefSeq and is a predicted model, not a curated record.